AGAGUUGAUCCUGGCUCAGAACGAACGCUGGCGGCGUGCUUAACACAUGCAAGUCGAACGAGAAAGCUUCUUUCGGGAAGUGAGUAGAGUGGCGCACGGGUGAGUAACGCGUAGGUAAUCUACCCUUAUAUUUGGGAUAACAUUGGGAAACUGGUGCUAAUACCGAAUGGUCUUCAUUGCUUUGGGGCGAUGGAGUAAAGGUGGCCUCUUCAUGAAAGCUACCGUGUAGGGAUGAGCCUGCGUACCAUUAGCUAGUAGGUGGGGUAAUGGCCCACCUAGGCUACGAUGGUUAGCGGGUCUGAGAGGAUGAUCCGCCACACUGGAACUGGAACACGGACCAGACUCCUACGGGAGGCAGCAGUGAGGAAUAUUGCGCAAUGGGGGAAACCCUGACGCAGCGACGCCGCGUGAGUGAGGAAGGUUUUCGGAUCGUAAAGCUCUGUCAGAAGGGAAGAAGUGUUAUACAGUUAAUACCUGUAUAAUUUGACGGUACCUUCAGAGGAAGCACCGGCUAACUCCGUGCCAGCAGCCGCGGUAAUACGGAGGGUGCAAGCGUUGUUCGGAAUUACUGGGCGUAAAGGGCGCGUAGGCGGCCUGAUAAGUCAGAUGUGAAAGUCCACGGCCCAACCGUGGAAGUGCAUUUGAAACUGUCAGGCUUGAGUAUCGGAGGGGAGUGUGGAAUUCCCGGUGUAGAGGUGAAAUUCGUAGAGAUCGGGAGGAACACCGGUGGCGAAGCGCCACUCUGGACGAAUACUGACGCUGAGGCGCGAAAGCGUGGGGAGCAAACAGGAUUAGAUACCCUGGUAGUCCACGCCGUAAACGAUGUG
This 827-nucleotide ribosomal RNA is filed under the name uncultured bacterium. RNAcentral's name for it is "bacterial SSU rRNA". It matches the Rfam family "Bacterial small subunit ribosomal RNA", at positions 8 to 813 of the family's 1533-position model. The record is from RNAcentral.